UACGUAGGUGGCAAGCGUUGUCCGGAUUUAUUGGGCGUAAAGCGCGCGCAGGCGGUUCUUUAAGUCUGAUGUGAAAGCCCCCGGCUCAACCGGGGAGGGUCAUUGGAAACUGGGGAACUUGAGUGCAGAAGAGAAGAGCGGAAUUCCACGUGUAGCGGUGAAAUGCGUAGAGAUGUGGAGGAACACCAGUGGCGAAGGCGGCUCUUUGGUCUGUAACUGACGCUGAGGCGCGAAAGCGUGGGGAGCAAACAGG
Molecule: ribosomal RNA, 253 nt
Filed under: uncultured bacterium
Lineage: Bacteria
Description: partial 16S ribosomal RNA
Rfam family: Bacterial small subunit ribosomal RNA
Source: RNAcentral